GAAAGGCUGCGGCCACACCAACAGACGUCGUCCGGCCUUCUUCACACGCAACGAAGCGCCCAGGUGGAAAUGCAUGUACCCGCGGCAGCUUCUCGGCAGCGGGCUUCCUGGGACGGAAGACACAGGCUCGCCCGAGGGAGACGGAAGCAGGGGAUCUGCUAGAACUCAGCUCGCCUCCUCCUUUCUCAGCAGGGCAGAGAAUCAUGGGCUUGUGCUGACGAAAGCUCCAGAAAAUGGACUCAUUUAACCUUUCCAAAGAUAUUAUCCAAGCUGCAAAAUCUUGGCAAUCUGAAGACCUUUUAAGUCGAUAUACCAAAGAGCUUUAGUCAGGAUUGAAUGCAAAAUGCCAAAAUUUCACUUUUAAAAUCAUCGUAACAUCUAAAUACAACCUAAGCACACUUGUAAACUGAUGCCGAACAGGCACUUGGAGAGCCCUCCCUGCACCCCUUCCUCGCCCCCUCCUUUGUGCAAAUGCUGUUUGCCCAGAACUUCAGCCACUGAAAAUCCUGGGAACUUUCUCUUCCUGGCUGCCAACCUAGCAGUUUGGACUCACAGACGAGAUUUUUAAAUCACUGAGGGAUUUAAGCCUCUCUGUGUCACAGAAAAGCGAACACCCUCCCAGUUGAAGGUGGCCCCAAAGAUGCGGGCCUGGGACCCAGGACUUCUGCAGGAGAGUGGACGCCUGGGUGCCCCCCGCCUUGCCCUGCACAUGAAUAACAGAGUACACCAGUCAUCAUAAGAAGAAAAAUUCACAUUUAAAGUUUGGAAAGCAACAGGACAAAGGUCUGUCUUCAGUGGUGCGUAGACAUGCUCGUGAUUGAAUUGGAAAUAGUUCUCUUUCCUUCUCUCUGACUUCCUAACUGAAAAGCUGCAGCGUGGGGAGAAAGGCUGCUCAGAAGCCUGGAGCCAGAACACGCACCCCGGCUUUUGCAGGGCCGGCUCACUUGGUUAGAAUCAAAGGAAAAGCCUUGUUAUUUGGGAAGCUGGGCGUCCUCACCAAAUUAGGGGAUUUAAUUUGCAGAUAUCUAAGGAGUGCUUUGAAAUGAAAGAUGAACUAAAAUCUGCUCUGAGGCCCGUGAUUUUUCACCAGUGAAGGACUCUCUUGCUGCUGGACAUACAUGAAAAGCAUCAUCUGAUCUGAAACGCAAGUCCCUGCAAGACAGAGGAGAGACUUUAUAAACAUUUUAUACCAUUCUAUGAAAUCAAUUCGAUUCAGGGCUAGAAUUCAAGAAGUAAUCCAUGGGCAAGUAUAUCUGAUGGUAAACCCAAACGAUUAUAUUGUUAACCUCUUGUACUUUUUUUAAUUUUUUAUUAUUUGAUAUUAUUAUCACAAAAGUCGCUGGAACAGGAUCCAUGAGCUGCUUCUUCACUGCUUAGUGUUUUCAGAAGCUGAUGGAUUAUUAAGCUCCAAUUGAAUACUUGAUUUCCAAUGAUUCCAUUAAUUUUUCUGGUUUGUGGUAGGAUUUGAUUUACUUAUUUUGUACUUUAACACACCAAUAAAAAAUAGAUACUAAGAAA
Homo sapiens (human) is the source of this 1518-nucleotide long non-coding RNA. Ensembl annotates it as long intergenic non-protein coding RNA 683. The record is from Ensembl. NCBI's taxonomy places the organism in Eukaryota, Metazoa, Chordata, Mammalia, Primates, Hominidae.